UAAGACGAAGGUGGCGACCGUUGUUCGGAAUUACUGGGCAUAAAGCGCACGUAGGCGGCAAUGUAAGUCAGGUGUGAAAUCCCCCGGCCCAACCGGGGAAUUGCGCUUGAUACUGUGUUGCUUGAGGGCAGGAGGGGACCGUGGAAUUCCUGGUGGAGCGGUGAAAUGCGUUGAUAUCAGGAGGAACACCGGCGGCGAAGGCGACGGUCUGGCCUGCUUCUGACGCUGAGGUGCGAAAGCCAGGGGAGCAAACGGGAUUAGAUACCCCGGUAGUCCUGGCCGUAAACGAUGGGCACUAGGUAGGGGGGUUCCCAAUGCCUCCCUGCUGGAGAUAAUUCGUUAAGUGCCCCGCCUGGGGAGUAUAGUCGCAAGGCUG
This 376-nucleotide ribosomal RNA is filed under the name uncultured bacterium. Its description in RNAcentral is "bacterial SSU rRNA". It matches the Rfam family "Bacterial small subunit ribosomal RNA", at positions 521 to 896 of the family's 1533-position model. The record is from RNAcentral.